AUUAGAUAAAAAACCAAUGCCCUUCGGGGCUCCUUGGUGAUUCAUAAUAACUUAUCGAAUCGCAUGGCCUUGCGCUGGCGAUGGUUCAUUCAAAUUUCUGCCCUAUCAACUUUCGAUGGUAGGAUAGUGGCCUACCAUGGUGGCAACGGGUAACGGGGAAUUAGGGUUCGAUUCCGGAGAGGGAGCCUGAGAAACGGCUACCACAUCUAAGGAAGGCAGCAGGCGCGCAAAUUACCCAAUCCCGAUACGGGGAGGUAGUGACAAUAAAUACUGAUACAGGGCUCUUUCGGGUCUUGUAAUUGGAAUGAGUACAAUUUAAACACCUCAACGAGGAGCAAUUGGAGGGCAAGUCUGGUGCCAGCAGCCGCGGUAAUUCCAGCCCCAAUAGCGUAUAUUAAAGUUGUUGCAGUUAAAAAGCUCGUAGUUGAACCUUGGGUCUGGCUGGCCGGUCCGCCUCACCGCGUGCACUGGUCCGGCUGGAUCUUUCCUUCUGGGGAGCCCCAUGGGCCUUUAUUGG
RNAcentral lists this ribosomal RNA (517 nucleotides) under uncultured fungus. RNAcentral's name for it is "SSU rRNA". It matches the Rfam family "Eukaryotic small subunit ribosomal RNA", at positions 209 to 726 of the family's 1831-position model. The record is from RNAcentral. Lineage: Eukaryota; Fungi.